Molecule: non-coding RNA, 140 nt
Organism: Caenorhabditis elegans
Lineage: Eukaryota; Metazoa; Nematoda; Chromadorea; Rhabditida; Rhabditidae
Source: Ensembl
AGCAUGGUGCAUCGUGUUGACCUUUCGGACGGUACUGAUAAUGGUCGCGGAUCGGUGUUCCCCGGUUUGAUCUACCAGAAUUGCGGGAAUAGUCACAUAAAACUUAAAUUUCCCGCAAUUCUCGGAGAUCAAACCGCAAA